This 596-nucleotide long non-coding RNA is filed under the name Daucus carota (carrot). RNAcentral describes it as "long non-coding RNA (DCAR_LNC003308)". The record is from RNAcentral. Lineage: Eukaryota; Viridiplantae; Streptophyta; Magnoliopsida; Apiales; Apiaceae.
GAAUACACUAAUUCAACAUCUGUAUGCAGUGACUUGAAAAGCCAAAAUUAUACUUCUAUAAAUAGCUCCCUUCUGCUUCUUCCAAUCUCCACUAAAUUAAUCACUAUUCCCUUAAAAAUUACUAGAGCUUUUUGGUCCAUUUGUAAGGAAGAUUAACUGUGAAAUGGAGAAAAAAAGCUGCUGUUCAGGAAGGAGCUGCUGCCCGUCAACUCGAGCAGUGAGGCCUGUGGCUACCCCAAAGGAAGAGCCAGGGGUGACGGUGAAAACACCGAAAGCUGAAGAUGUGAAACCUGAAAUAAUCACGGAAGUUGAAGGCCAUCACGCGACUGCUGCUGUCAAGGUUGAGAGAAAAGAGGCUGGAAAUGUUGCUGCUGUCAAGAAAGAGGAGGCUGUCAAGGUUAAUGUUGGCUGUGGAGGAGGUGCUUGCAACUAAAUUGGGUGCAUGUUUGGCAAAAAUUUAUAUUAAAUUUUAAGUACAUUUAUAAUAUUUAUGGGAGUUAUUAUGAUCUAUGAGUUAUAUCUGCUUUGAUCUUAAUAUAUGUGAAUUUAGGCUACCAGCUAUUCUCUGCUAAUCGUUUUCGAGUUCUGUUUAUCGC